ACCCCCACACAGACAGAGCGCAGAGGAGAAGACUGGCACAACUCAAGCAUGUUGUGUCUGGGUGUGAGAUGACUCACGGGACGAGGCAAAGCGCCGGGCACACACAGCUCUCAGUGACAUCGCCGCUCCUCCGAGAGGUGUGUGCUCAGAUUGGAACAAGGAUCAAGUCACCCAUCACAGUAAAGCAUGCACGGAAAGGCCAAGAGGUAGAAAAUCUGUCUGCCUAU
Molecule: long non-coding RNA, 227 nt
Organism: Archocentrus centrarchus (flier cichlid)
Lineage: Eukaryota; Metazoa; Chordata; Actinopteri; Cichliformes; Cichlidae
Exons: 3
Source: RefSeq, a predicted model, not a curated record